AUUUCGUAUUAAUAAUUUUUCAGACAAUGCCAUGUUCUAUACGUGUUCAGUUAACCAACUUGCGAGUCAAGACUCGAAGCUUGUUUGAAAAAACCAAAAAUGAUCCUUCCGCAGGUUCACCUACGGAAA
RNAcentral lists this unclassified non-coding RNA (129 nucleotides) under uncultured fungus. RNAcentral describes it as "sequence contains ITS1, 5.8S rRNA gene". Lineage: Eukaryota; Fungi. The record is from RNAcentral.